GGGCGUUUAGCUCAGUUGGGAGAGCGCCUGCCUUACAAGCAGGUGGUCAGGGGUUCAAGUCCCUUAGCGCCCACCA
RNAcentral lists this transfer RNA (76 nucleotides) under Candidatus Cloacimonadota bacterium. Its description in RNAcentral is "Candidatus Cloacimonetes bacterium tRNA-Val". It matches the Rfam family "tRNA". Rfam says of the family: Transfer RNA (tRNA) molecules are approximately 80 nucleotides in length. Their secondary structure includes four short double-helical elements and three loops (D, anti-codon, and T loops). The record is from RNAcentral. Lineage: Bacteria; Pseudomonadati; Candidatus Cloacimonadota.